UACGUAGGUGGCAAGCGUUGUCCGGAUUUACUGGGCGUAAAGAGCGCGCAGGCGGUCAGAUAAGUCGAAUGUGAAAGCCCCCGGCUCAACUGGGGAGGGUCAUUCGAUACUGUUCGACUCGAAGGCAGGAGAGGGAAGUGGAAUUCCCGGUGUAGUGGUGAAAUGCGUAGAUAUCGGGAGGAACACCAGUGGCGAAGGCGAAUCCCUGGAAAAUACCUGACACUGAGGCACGAAAGCUAGGGGAGCAAACAGG
This 253-nucleotide ribosomal RNA is filed under the name uncultured bacterium. Its description in RNAcentral is "partial 16S ribosomal RNA". It matches the Rfam family "Bacterial small subunit ribosomal RNA", at positions 524 to 776 of the family's 1533-position model. The record is from RNAcentral.